RNAcentral lists this ribosomal RNA (497 nucleotides) under uncultured bacterium. Its description in RNAcentral is "partial 16S ribosomal RNA". It matches the Rfam family "Bacterial small subunit ribosomal RNA", at positions 28 to 507 of the family's 1533-position model. The record is from RNAcentral.
GAUGAACGCUGGCGGCGUGCCUAAUACAUGCAAGUCGAGCGAACAGACGAGGAGCUUGCUCCUCUGACGUUAGCGGCGGACGGGUGAGUAACACGUGGAUAACCUACCUAUAAGACUGGGAUAACUUCGGGAAACCGGAGCUAAUACCGGAUAAUAUAUUGAACCGCAUGGUUCGAUAGUGAAAGACGGUUUUGCUGUCACUUAUAGAUGGAUCCGCGCCGCAUUAGCUAGUUGGUAAGGUAACGGCUUACCAAGGCAACGAUGCGUAGCCGACCUGAGAGGGUGAUCGGCCACACUGGAACUGAGACACGGUCCAGACUCCUACGGGAGGCAGCAGUAGGGAAUCUUCCGCAAUGGGCGAAAGCCUGACGGAGCAACGCCGCGUGAGUGAUGAAGGUCUUCGGAUCGUAAAACUCUAUUAUGAGGGAAGAACAAAUGUGUAAGUAACUAUGCACGUCUUGACGGUACCUAAUCAGAAAGCCACGGCUAACUACGUG